Myzus persicae (green peach aphid) is the source of this 1344-nucleotide long non-coding RNA. RefSeq lists it as uncharacterized. Lineage: Eukaryota; Metazoa; Arthropoda; Insecta; Hemiptera; Aphididae. The record is from RefSeq and is a predicted model, not a curated record. The transcript has 2 exons.
AUUAUUAUUAUUAUUUUAUUUAAAAUAUAUAUAUUUAGAUGACCACACACAACACACCAUCACCACCACCUCCCCGUACACACACACACACUCACACCCACAACGUCAAAUCGACAUCAUCUGCAAUGCGAAGAACAGACGCCACACUCACGCACUCCUCGCACUCGUUCACACGGUUGGCCAAAUAUUUUAAAAGACAGACCUCGUCAACGUCUAUUUGAGCGACAGCCACGUUACCAUGACAACUAAAUAAGUUUUGAGUCAUUACAGAGUUACCAACUGAUCUCGUCGACAGCGUCAUUACACACGUACGCGAUGUUGGUCAAAACUACUCGUACACACCACAUUCACCGAUGUACACAACAUACACCAAUACACACACAUACACAAAUACACACCACAUAAUUAUUAAUAUUAUUUAUUAUUAAUUAUUUAACUUAUGUUUUUUUUAUAUAUAUAUAAAUGUAAGAAAAGUAAUCCUUCCGAUGACUAAUGAAAUAAGAGUGCACAAGUGCUCCCUAAAAAUCCGUUUAUUAUUAUUAUUAUUAUUAUUAUUAUUAUUAAUAACUAUAUUAUAUGUUAUGUUUAUAUAGUGCAUAUUAUAUAUUAGAGCAUAAUGCGUAUGUAUACAUAUAUUUUUAUUAUGAGCUAUAUAGUUUGUAUAUAUAUUAUGAUGAUUUUAAUGCUUAGCUUAGGAAUUUAAUGUUUGGUUACCAAAUCUCAAAAGGCCAGUAAAAGGAGAUGUGCUCAAGGUUUAAAAAUGUUAAAAAAAGAUUAUAUUAUUUACAAUAUAAUACAAGCCGUUCAGUUCCUACACACUGUUCCAAUUAAAUAAGAUAUUAAUCCGCUAUGUUCGGUUUUCUUCUUCUUUUUAAUAAUUGCAGACAUUUUGUUCAUGAAAGAGAUAUAUGAGUGAGAACUAUAUGCAAAGAGAGAAUGAUCACAAUAAAUGUGUGACAAUAUUGCUGUUCACAGUAUUUGUGUGUUUUAUUGUAAAUUGUAUUUUUAUUACAAAAUAUUGUAACUUAAUGAUUUGAACCAAUUUACUAUAUCCGCACACUAAUAUUUUGUUUCUUUACGACGAUUUGUGUAAAAAAUAUUGUAAGUACAUAUACAUAUUUAUUUAUGUAUGUAGUAUUUUUAAAUAUCAAUUGAAUAAAAACGAUUAACUACCAUUGCCUCCAAAACAAGAGUACAAAAUAUUUUUCUAAAACCAAUUCGUUAUCUUUGUUAACCCCAUUAGUUUUAGUUUUACCUUUCAAAUUUUUUUUUGUUUUUUUGGGAUAUUUGGGCAUAAAAUCACUGAUUCGGCAUUCGUUUUUUGGAUCUUGUUUAAAAAAAAAA